UUUGUCAUUUGGUCGUUCUUGAUUUAAAUUGAUUAAAAAUGGUUGUGAUAUGUAUGGUCUGCAACAAAACAUUUUGCAAACAAUAUAGCUUAAACAGAUAUAAUAGAAAAAUACAUCAUUUGGCACCGAAACAUGUUGUUUAUGAUCAGUCGGAGUAUAUGUAUAAAUGUGUAAAAAAAGAUUGUGGUAGUUCUUUUCGGUGGAAUAUUGGGUUGAGAGCUCAUACUGAAAAACAUAACAACAGGUUUUGUAUUCAGAAAAUGGAACUUUCUAGUCAACAAGAGUUCAAGGCCUGGAAAGAGUCAAUGGAAAAAUAUAGGAAAACCCGCUAUGGUCAUAAAUCUGAGUUACAGCAUUUCAGACUUCUACAGCAAGAUAAAGCAAUGGUAGCUUCCAAACUUAUUUUGGGAGUUCCAGCAUCAAGGUAUGCCAUUUAAAUUACUCACCAACAAUAAAAUCUGUACAACUGAAAGUUAGGUAAUUUUAAUAUUUGUCGUUUUUAAGGAUUCUAGAUUUAGAAUUUAGAA
Molecule: long non-coding RNA, 527 nt
Organism: Dendroctonus ponderosae (mountain pine beetle)
Lineage: Eukaryota; Metazoa; Arthropoda; Insecta; Coleoptera; Curculionidae
Exons: 2
Source: RefSeq, a predicted model, not a curated record